Molecule: non-coding RNA, 1423 nt
Organism: Paramuricea clavata
Lineage: Eukaryota; Metazoa; Cnidaria; Anthozoa; Malacalcyonacea; Plexauridae
Source: the annotation of a GenBank genome assembly
UUUCGUCCCUGUGUACAUCUAACUUUUGUAUGCCUUGAUUAAGCCGUCCCUCCCCCUGGGUCCACAUAGUCUGAGUGCAUAUUUUUGGAAAUACAACAUUUGAAUUUUUCUUAUAUUUUACUAGAAAUUAUGCACAAUAACACAGUAAAUUUUUAGUAAAAUGUUCAAGGAAAAGAAUCUUCCAACAGCAGCAGAUGACACAGCAAAUCUUUAGUAAAAUGUUCAAGGAAAGGAUCUUCCAACAGCGGCAGAUAACACAAUAAAUCUUUACUCUGUCUAACGCUACAAUCCUGGACAAAAAGUGGCAAAAACUAGUUUAUUACUUCAAAAUAUAAUUUUAAGACAUGUUUGUCCCAAUGAUGUCCCCUUCCCCCAAUAUCAAUGUUUGGCCAAGUUAUCUGGCCUUGAAUACACCCAUCAACAUUGAUAUUAGGGGAAGGGGGGUGAAAUUCGAUGAAUUUUCUUAUUUUUUACCCUUUUGCCAAUAAUUUAUGUCCAAGAUUGUAGAUGAUUUUACUCAUCAAGUGGAGUCUUGCAACUUAAUGGGUUAAUGAAUCAGUUGGUUAUUACAACCGAUUUCAACUUGAUUCAUAUUUAACAUUCACUUUAACCCAUUUAUUGACAGCACUCUACCACUGACGAGUAAUUAAUCGUCUGGCAUCAGACAGAGUAAAUACUAUAAGUAGGUACAUUUGGGCACAUUCACAUUGCCAGUUAAUGAGUUAAUAUUGACAACAUUAAAAACAGACUAGGGUGUCAAAGGCUACGUGGAUGCUUCUUUGCCUGCAACAAAGCAUAAAGUGGGACUGCCACAUGAUCAAUGUUAGAUUUCAGCAAUGAAGGGAAUCAAUAUUUUAAUAAAAUAAUUGUUAUUAAUAAAAUAAUUGUUAAAAUAAUCAAUAUUUUAAAAUUAAUAAAAUAAUUGUUGUCAAUUAAUAAAAUAAUUGUUAGAAAUUGUUGGGUUAAUAAUUAUUGGGUUAAUAAUUAUUGAAAUAUGUUGUGCUAUAGCAGACUAUGAAGUGAUUAUGCAUAUAUAGUAUAUAAAAUGGACAUUAGAUGACUCAACCUGGCCUAGUUAGCCAGGCUUGUCUUCAGUGUCUUGCUUAGCCAAGAUCCUGACUCAUAUGAUAACCAUUUUCUAUUCUGGCAAGGCAGGCUAGCCUGCAUGGCUCAUGUAAACAGGGCCUAAGAUGAUACAUUUUAACAUCAUAUAGUAGGCAUGUGAAUAUCAUACCGGCAGAUAAUUGAAUGAAAGCCUUUUUCCAUUGUUUUGUAUUUCUACCAUUUAUUUGUAGUCCCCGAGCCGGCGGCGCGAAGCGCCGUGCGAGGGUACUAAUUCCCCCCGGCUAUUUACACCCGGGGAAACGAAAGCAUUAGCGGAGUCUAAAGUUCAUCAAAUAUCGCGGGCGUGGGUCACCAACGA